GACGAACGCUGGCGGCGUGCUUAACACAUGCAAGUCGAACGGAAAGGCCCUGCUUUUGUGGGGUGCUCGAGUGGCGAACGGGUGAGUAACACGUGAGUAACCUGCCCUUGACUUUGGGAUAACUUCAGGAAACUGGGGCCAAUACCGGAUAGGAGCUCCUGCUGCAUGGUGGGGGUUGGAAAGUUUCGGCGGUUGGGGAUGGACUCGCGGCUUAUCAGCUUGUUGGUGGGGUAGUGGCUUACCAAGGCUUUGACGGGUAGCCGGCCUGAGAGGGUGACCGGCCACAUUGGGACUGAGAUACGGCCCAGACUCCUACGGGAGGCGGCAGUGGGGAAUAUUGCACAAUGGGCGGAAGCCUGAUGCAGCAACGCCGCGUGCGGGAUGACGGCCUUCGGGUUGUAAACCGCUUUCGCCUGUGACGAAGCGUGAGUGACGGUAAUGGGUAAAGAAGCACCGGCUAACUACGUG
RNAcentral lists this ribosomal RNA (468 nucleotides) under uncultured bacterium. RNAcentral describes it as "partial 16S ribosomal RNA". It matches the Rfam family "Bacterial small subunit ribosomal RNA", at positions 28 to 507 of the family's 1533-position model. The record is from RNAcentral.